UAGCAAACAUCCUUGUGACAGUGCUGUACGUGCGUUUUUUGCUAUCGCUACAUAGCCAACGUUUGCACUAACAGCUGUUUACUUACCAAGAGUUAGAGUCGUUGUUGAGGUUACAAGACAAAAGUUUAGAGCAGAGCUGCUACUUCAUCUCCUCAUGUUGGACUGAGGCCAGACUAGACGCUACGCAAGUUACACACUAUCGCAACGAGACGGUAGGUGGCUAGCUUAGCCGGUUAGCAUGCUAAAUUCAGUAGAAGAAAAUUAGCGACAUAAAAGCAAAACAGGUUAAUAUUGGUGUUGCUUUCCACAGCUGAAGGGCUGCUGAAGGAAUGAAGUCUGAUGCUGAACUCGCUACGUUUCCUCUAAACUGGAGACAGCUCUUGGCGAAUGGAGUUUUAUGCUGAACUUGCAACGUUUCUUCUAGACUGCUGGAGACACUGAGUAAAGGAAUGAAGAUGGAUGUUGAAUUUACAACGUUUCCCCUAGACUGGU
Lates calcarifer (barramundi perch) is the source of this 492-nucleotide long non-coding RNA. RefSeq lists it as uncharacterized. The record is from RefSeq and is a predicted model, not a curated record. The transcript has 3 exons. NCBI's taxonomy places the organism in Eukaryota, Metazoa, Chordata, Actinopteri, Centropomidae.